GGAUCAGGUAGGGAUACCCGCUGAACUUAAGCAUAUC
Molecule: ribosomal RNA, 37 nt
Filed under: Didymosphaeria variabile
Lineage: Eukaryota; Fungi; Ascomycota; Dothideomycetes; Pleosporales; Didymosphaeriaceae
Description: partial 28S ribosomal RNA
Source: RNAcentral